This 452-nucleotide ribosomal RNA is filed under the name uncultured organism. RNAcentral's name for it is "partial 16S ribosomal RNA". It matches the Rfam family "Bacterial small subunit ribosomal RNA", at positions 329 to 798 of the family's 1533-position model. The record is from RNAcentral.
ACGUACACUCCUGCGGAGGCAGCAGUGGGGAAUAUUGGACAAUGGGCGCAAGCCUGAUCCAGCCAUGCCGCGUGAGUGAUGAAGGCCCUAGGGUUGUAAAGCUCUUUCACCGGUGAAGAUAAUGACGGUAACCGGAGAAGAAGCCCCGGCUAACUUCGUGCCAGCAGCCGCGGUAAUACGAAGGGGGCUAGCGUUGUUCGGAUUUACUGGGCGUAAAGCGCACGUAGGCGGACUAUUAAGUCAGGGGUGAAAUCCCGGGGCUCAACCCCGGAACUGCCUUUGAUACUGGUAGUCUUGAGUUCGAGAGAGGUGAGUGGAAUUCCGAGUGUAGGGGUGAAAUUCGUAGAUAUUCGGAGGAACACCAGUGGCGAAGGCGGCUCACUGGCUCGAUACUGACGCUGAGGUGCGAAAGCGUGGGGAGCAAACAGGAUUAGAAACCCUAGUAGUCCCAU